AACAUCGCGCACCUGCGGGAACCUGCGGAAGGAUCAUUACGGAGUGUGACCCCCCUCUUAAAAUAGGGGGUAUCUCCCGUCCUUUGUUGGGGUCCCUUAAAAUUUUUAGGGGACUUUAAAACAAAACUUUUUUCUGCUUCGGUGGGGUAACCCACCGGAACACCCUCAAAAAAAUUCUUUGAACAGUUCAGUCCGAUUAUUUUUUGAAAAUAAAAUCAAAACUUUCAACAACGGAUCUCA
RNAcentral lists this unclassified non-coding RNA (240 nucleotides) under soil metagenome. Its description in RNAcentral is "partial contains 5.8S ribosomal RNA, internal transcribed spacer 2, and large subunit ribosomal RNA". The record is from RNAcentral.